GUACUCACUUAUGCAGCAUAUAUGCUAAAAUGGGACAACAGAGACAUUAGCAUGACACCUACACAAGGAUGACACACAAAUUUGUUAUGUGUUCCAUAUUUUU
Molecule: small nuclear RNA, 103 nt
Organism: Manis pentadactyla (Chinese pangolin)
Lineage: Eukaryota; Metazoa; Chordata; Mammalia; Pholidota; Manidae
Source: RefSeq, a predicted model, not a curated record